GGUUAAGCGACUAAGCGUACACGGUGGAUGCCCUGGCAGUCAGAGGCGAUGAAGGGCGUGCUAAUCUGCGAUAAGCGCCGGUAAGGUGAUAUGAACCGUUAUAACCGGCGAUACCCGAAUGGGGAAACCCAGUGUGAUUCGUCACACUAUCAUUAACUGAAUCCAUAGGUUAAUGAGGCGAACCGGGGGAACUGAAACAUCUAAGUACCCCGAGGAAAAGAAAUCAACCGAGAUUCCCCCAGUAGCGGCGAGCGAACGGGGAGGAGCCCAGAGCCUGAAUCAGCAUGUGUGUUAGUGGAAGCGUCUGGAAAGGCGCGCGAUACAGGGUGACAGCCCCGUACACAAAAGCGCAUGUGCUGUGAGCUCGAUGAGUAGGGCGGGACACGUGGUAUCCUGUCUGAAUAUGGGGGGACCAUCCUCCAAGGCUAAAUACUCCUGACUGACCGAUAGUGAACCAGUACCGUGAGGGAAAGGCGAAAAGAACCCCGGCGAGGGGAGUGAAAAAGAACCUGAAACCGUGUACGUACAAGCAGUGGGAGCACCCUUUG
Molecule: ribosomal RNA, 548 nt
Filed under: Salmonella enterica subsp. enterica serovar Enteritidis
Lineage: Bacteria; Pseudomonadati; Pseudomonadota; Gammaproteobacteria; Enterobacterales; Enterobacteriaceae
Description: partial 23S ribosomal RNA
Rfam family: Bacterial large subunit ribosomal RNA
Source: RNAcentral